GGCCGUCGGAUCCAUGUGGACAUUAAGUUAGAGUCGGGACGUCGGGACUCGUCCUUCUUGGCGAGCGUCGAUCAUCAGUCGAAGAGCUAAAACCCAAAAUUUGAAACUAAAUUUGUAUUCUGAAUGAACAGGCAUAAAGUUCAUUGGUGAUACAACUUCAGGUUGUCAGCAUUCCAGGUUCGGAGAAUGGGUUUCCCCUCCAGGGUUUCCAAUCGGUAAGCUCUUGGCCCGUAGGUGUCUGCUACUAUGUAGGGCCCUUCCC
RNAcentral lists this long non-coding RNA (262 nucleotides) under Elaeis guineensis (African oil palm). RNAcentral's name for it is "long non-coding RNA (EGUI_LNC073353)". Lineage: Eukaryota; Viridiplantae; Streptophyta; Magnoliopsida; Arecales; Arecaceae. The record is from RNAcentral.